Molecule: ribosomal RNA, 253 nt
Filed under: uncultured bacterium
Lineage: Bacteria
Description: partial 16S ribosomal RNA
Rfam family: Bacterial small subunit ribosomal RNA
Source: RNAcentral
UACGGGGGGGGCAAGCGUUGUUCGGAAUUACUGGGCGUAAAGGGCUCGUAGGCGGCCAACUAAGUCAAACGUGAAAUCCCUCGGCUUAACCGGGGAACUGCGCUUGAUACUGGAUGGCUUGAGAUUGGGAGAGGGAUGCGGAAUUCCUGGUGUAGCGGUGAAAUGCGCAGAUAUCAGGAAGAACACCCGUGGCUAAGGCGGCUCUCUAGUACGGUACUGACGCUGAGAGGCGAAAGCGUGGGGAGCGAACAGG